RNAcentral lists this ribosomal RNA (207 nucleotides) under uncultured bacterium. Its description in RNAcentral is "partial 16S ribosomal RNA". It matches the Rfam family "Bacterial small subunit ribosomal RNA", at positions 568 to 774 of the family's 1533-position model. The record is from RNAcentral.
CACGUAGGCGGAUUGUUAAGUUAGGGGUGAAAUCCCGGGGCUCAACCCCGGAACUGCCUUUGAUACUGGCAAUCUAGAGUUCGAGAGAGGUGAGUGGAAUUCCGAGUGUAGAGGUGAAAUUCGUAGAUAUUCGGAGGAACACCAGUGGCGAAGGCGGCUCACUGGCUCGAUACUGACGCUGAGGUGCGAAAGCGUGGGGAGCAAACA